RNAcentral lists this ribosomal RNA (321 nucleotides) under Triticum aestivum (bread wheat). Its description in RNAcentral is "partial small subunit ribosomal RNA". The record is from RNAcentral. Lineage: Eukaryota; Viridiplantae; Streptophyta; Magnoliopsida; Poales; Poaceae.
AUGACGGGUGGGCCGCCACUUCUUCUGGUCCCGCUCGUCGGCUGCUCCUAUUUUGUUUUCCUUUGCGAAAGCCCGUCGUCCAAUCCCCUCGCCCACAUGCCGCAACCCUCCCUUCCUCCUCCUCUCCCUCUCUCUCUAAGCGGCCGCCACAACACGAAGCCACAAACCCUAGCCCCCUCCUUCUCCCUUGCAUGUGUGCUCGUCGCCGCCUUCCCCCCUCUUCCCCAUCGUUGCGCCAAUGCCUCCACCGGCUACAAUGGAUCCAUGGCUGAUGGGUGGGUACGAGGCAGCGAAGGACGCCGUCCUCGACCCAUCGCUUAG